GAUGAAGAACGCAGCGAAUUGCGAUAAGUAAUGUGAAUUGCAGAAUUCAGUGAAUCAUCGAAUCUUUGAACGCAGCUUGCGCUCUCUGGUAUUCCGGAGAGCAUGCCUGUUUCAGUGUCAUGAAAUCUCAACCACUAGGGUUUCCUAAUGGAUUGGAUUUGGGCGUCUGCGAUCUCUGAUCGCUCGCCUUAAAAGAGUUAGCAAGUUUGACAUUAAUGUCUGGUGUAAUAAGUUUCACUGGGUCCAUUGUGUUGAAGCGUGCUUCUAAUCGUCCGCAAGGACAAUUACUUUGACUCUGGCCUGAAAUCAGGUAGGACUACCCGCUGAACUUAAGCAUAUCAAUAAGCGGAGGA
Molecule: unclassified non-coding RNA, 353 nt
Filed under: soil metagenome
Description: partial contains 5.8S ribosomal RNA, internal transcribed spacer 2, and large subunit ribosomal RNA
Rfam family: 5.8S ribosomal RNA (bases 1-120)
Source: RNAcentral